This 259-nucleotide ribosomal RNA is filed under the name uncultured bacterium. RNAcentral describes it as "partial 16S ribosomal RNA". It matches the Rfam family "Bacterial small subunit ribosomal RNA", at positions 1234 to 1500 of the family's 1533-position model. The record is from RNAcentral.
CGGGCACAGCGGGAAGCCAGGUGGUGACACCGAGCAGAACCCGAAAGCCGUUCUCAGUUCGGAUCGGAGUCUGCAACCCGACUCCGUGAAGCUGGAUUCGCUAGUAAUCGCGCAUCAGCCAUGGCGCGGUGAAUACGUUCCCGGGCCUUGUACACACCGCCCGUCAAGCCAUGGAAGCCGGGGGGCGCUUGAAGUGCGUUGCCGCAAGGCGCGCCCUAGAGCGAAACCGGUGACUGGGGCUAAGUCGUAACAAGGUAUC